CUAACCUGCAAAUGAACCCAUACGAGCUACAGGAGAGAAAAUCUUAUCCCCACCUUAUCCUCUCAUCACCCACCCAUCUCUCUCUCCCCCCGUGCUCCUCAAUCCACUCUGCGCCUCCCCUCCCAGCCCGCCGCUGCACCAUCUCCUCCCCUGGGCCACUACACCACCUCACACCCCGCGCCAUGGCACCACCCCUCCCCGCGCCGCCGCACCCUCUCCAACCACCUCCUACUCGGCCCACCUGCCCACGCGUCGGCCAGCCGCCGGAUUUGCCCCGUCGCCGUCCUCCCACGGCUGCCCGACAUCAUAUCCACUUGUAGCCGUCCUGGGGGCGUCAGCGGCGGCCGGCUUCAAGGGUUGGAGAGGUCCAGUGAGCUCGGGGUCGCCGGCGAUCCACCCCUCCCCGUUCUUCCACGACCGUCGGUGUUGCGCGUGUCCCCCACGACAGUGUAGUUCGCGUGCGCGUGUGCAACUCCUUCCUCACCUCACGACCACCAUCUCUCUGAUGAGCAUCAGCCUUCAAAGAUUGGAGGGGGUCCAGUAAGCUCUAAGAUCGCCGGGAGCCCACCACCCCGCCACCCUAGCUACCCCGCACCAGAUCUCGCCAAAGAUCUGGCGUGCCCUGCAUCCAUCGCCGCCGUUCAAGGUCGGACGCCUAGGUCCAGCGAGGCCACCGCCUCUUGUCUGUCCGCUGCCUGUGUUUGAAGCUACCGGCGCUCCACCCCUGCCCAGAUCCAUCAGGCGCGCGCCGGUUUCUUGCUGCCCGCCCCUCCGCAGCCGCACCGGUCUUCGGUUCAAUUUUUUUGUUUUUGCUAUUAAAAUCUUCAGUGCACGGUGGCGAAUGUUGAAGUCCCUCCCCUCUCUUCUGCUACGUUGCAUGAUCCCCCACCCCCCACUUCCUCUGUUUGGCAGGUCUGGUAGCACUCUCGCAUCGAUGCAGCUCACUUCGUCCAUACGGGUUGUUUUUUGGGAUCGAACUACAUCUCACUUCGCCCAGUGUCUGGAACAGCAUGAGCGUGCGGGCGUCCCUGCCCUGCAGCCAGGCGACAGCACCCGUGCAGUCCACAAAUGAGGCCGUGAAGUUGAAGAGCGACAGGCGGCGGGAGACAAGUGCACUGCAUUAUGGUGGCCGGUGGCAUAAUUAUUUCUUUACUAGUUCAUCUUUGCUGUUUGUUUUAGUUUCACCAUGUUUGUGGUUCCCUUAUGGCAUCCCGCAGUACGCAUUGCAUAUACAUGCAGUUUUUUUUAAUGCAAAGAUAACAAUAUAAUGGUGUAACAGAAAAGUUCUAGAACAAAAUAACAAAAA
Triticum aestivum (bread wheat) is the source of this 1306-nucleotide long non-coding RNA. RefSeq lists it as uncharacterized. Lineage: Eukaryota; Viridiplantae; Streptophyta; Magnoliopsida; Poales; Poaceae. The record is from RefSeq and is a predicted model, not a curated record. The transcript has 2 exons.